UGCGAGUGAGAGGGAAAGCUCAAAUUUAAAAUCUGAUAGUCUCUGGCUGUCCGAGUUGUAAUUUAGAGAAGUGUUACCCGUGCUGGACCGUGUAUAAGUCUCCUGGAAUGGAGCGUCAUAGAGGGUGAGAAUCCCGUCUUUGACACGGACUCCCAGUGCAUUGUGGUGCGCUCUCGAAGAGUCGAGUUGUUUGGGAAUGCAGCUCUAAAUGGGUGGUAAAUUCCAUCUAAAGCUAAAUAUUGGCGAGAGACCGAUAGCGAACAAGUACCGUGAGGGAAAGAUGAAAAGAACUUUGGAAAGAGAGUUAAACAGUACGUGAAAUUGCUGAAAGGGAAACGCUUGAAGUCAGUCGCGUUGGCUAGGGAUCAACCUUGCUUUAGUGAGGCGUACUUCCUAGUUGACGGGUCAGCAUCAGUUUCGAUCACUGGAAAAAGGCUUGGGGAAUGUGGCAUCUCCGGAUGUGUUAUAGCCCCUUGUCGUAUACAGUGGUUGGGACUGAGGAACUCAGCACGCCGCAAGGCCGGGUUUCGACCACGUUCGUGCUUAGGAUGCUGGCAUAAUGGCUUUAAGCGACCC
Molecule: ribosomal RNA, 576 nt
Filed under: Paramarasmius palmivorus
Lineage: Eukaryota; Fungi; Basidiomycota; Agaricomycetes; Agaricales; Marasmiaceae
Description: eukaryotic LSU rRNA
Rfam family: Eukaryotic large subunit ribosomal RNA
Source: RNAcentral